CAAUAAGCGGAGGAAAAGAAACUAACAAGGAUUCCCCCAGUAACGGCGAGUGAAGAGGGAACAGCCCAAAUUUGUAAUCUGGCCCCUUUGGGGUCCGAGUUGUAAUCUCGAGAACUGUUUUCCGCGCCGGACCAUGUACAAGUCUGUUGGAAUAUAGCUUCAUAGAGGGUGAGAAUCCCGUACAUGACAUGGACUACCGGUGCUUUGCGAUACAGUCUCUAAGAGUCGAGUUGUUUGGGAAUGCAGCUCAAAUUGGGUGGUAAAUUCCAUCUAAGGCUAAAUAUUGGCGAGAGACCGAUAGCGAACAAGUACCGUGAGGGAAAGAUGAAAAGCACUUUGGAAAGAGAGUUAACAGUACGUGAAAUUGUUGAAAGGGAAACGCUUGAAGUCAGCCUUGUUCUUGGUUGUUCAGCCCUCCGUGGCGUAUUCAACUUUGAGCAGGCCAGCAUCAGUUUUGGGUGCUGGAUAAGGGCUUAGGAAAUGUGGCAGCCUUGGCUGUGUUAUAGUCCUUUGCUUGAUACAGCGCUCCGGGACUGAGGAAUGCAGCGAGCCUUUUGGCGGGUCCAUUUAUGGACCUUCUCGCUUUGGAUGCUGGCGUAAUGGCUUUAAACGACCCGUCUUGAAACACG
Molecule: ribosomal RNA, 629 nt
Filed under: Helicobasidium longisporum I
Lineage: Eukaryota; Fungi; Basidiomycota; Pucciniomycetes; Helicobasidiales; Helicobasidiaceae
Description: LSU rRNA
Rfam family: Eukaryotic large subunit ribosomal RNA
Source: RNAcentral